RNAcentral lists this ribosomal RNA (453 nucleotides) under uncultured bacterium. Its description in RNAcentral is "partial 16S ribosomal RNA". It matches the Rfam family "Bacterial small subunit ribosomal RNA", at positions 28 to 523 of the family's 1533-position model. The record is from RNAcentral.
GAUGAAUGCUGGCGGCGUGCCUAAUACAUGCAAGUCGAGCGGUAACACUUCGGGUGACGAGCGGCGGACGGCAGAGUAACGCGUAGGAACGUACCCCAAACUGAGGGAUAACGCACCGAAAGGUGUGCUAAUACCGCAUGUGAUCUUCGGAUUAAAGCUUCGGCGGUUUGGUAACGGCCUGCGUAUGAUUAGCUUGUUGGUGAGGUAAUGGCUAACCAAGGCGACGAUCAUUAGCUGGUCUGAGAGGAUGAACAGCCUGACUGGAACUGAGACACGGUCCAGACUCCUACGGGAGGCAGCAGUAGGGAAUUUUCCACAAUGGGCGAAAGCCUGAUGGAGCAACGCCGCGUGCAGGAUGAAGGCCUUCGGGUUGUAAACUGCUUUUGUCUGUGAAGAUUAUGACGGUAGCAGACGAAUAAGGACCGGCUAACUACGUGCCAGCCGCCGCCGUAA